UAGAUAGAGGCGCGGUUCUCAUCAGUACUUUCCGGCAAGGUCGUGCAGCCGCCGGGAAGGAAAGGGAGCGCCGCCGAAGUGCCGGAAGAAUGCCCGUUCUUCCGUCGCUGGGUCGGCAGAGAAGAUCUGCCGGACUGUCACAAGAACUUUGUGAAGCGCUAUCA
This 164-nucleotide non-coding RNA is filed under the name uncultured Faecousia sp. RNAcentral describes it as "Lysine riboswitch". It matches the Rfam family "Lysine riboswitch aptamer". Rfam says of the family: Riboswitches are metabolite binding domains within certain messenger RNAs that serve as precision sensors for their corresponding targets. Lineage: Bacteria; Bacillati; Bacillota; Clostridia; Eubacteriales; Oscillospiraceae. The record is from RNAcentral.